UACGUAGGUGGCAAGCGUUGUCCGGAUUUACUGGGCGUAAAGAGCGCGCAGGCGGUCGUGCAAGUCGGGUGUGAAAGCCCCCGGCUCAACUGGGGAGGGUCACGCGAUACUGCUCGACUUGAAGGCAGGAGAGGGAAGCGGAAUUCCCGGUGUAGUGGUGAAAUGCGUAGAUAUCGGGAGGAACACCAGUGGCGAAGGCGACUACCUGGCCUGUUCUUGACGCUGAGGCGCGAAAGCUAGGGGAGCAAACGGG
RNAcentral lists this ribosomal RNA (253 nucleotides) under uncultured bacterium. RNAcentral's name for it is "partial 16S ribosomal RNA". It matches the Rfam family "Bacterial small subunit ribosomal RNA", at positions 524 to 776 of the family's 1533-position model. The record is from RNAcentral.